This 415-nucleotide ribosomal RNA is filed under the name uncultured Porphyromonas sp. RNAcentral describes it as "bacterial SSU rRNA". It matches the Rfam family "Bacterial small subunit ribosomal RNA", at positions 355 to 768 of the family's 1533-position model. The record is from RNAcentral. Lineage: Bacteria; Pseudomonadati; Bacteroidota; Bacteroidia; Bacteroidales; Porphyromonadaceae.
UGAGGAAUAUUGGUCAAUGGGCGGAAGCCUGAACCAGCCAUGCCGCGUGAAGGACUAAGGCCCUAUGAGUCGUAAACUUCUUUAGACGCAGAGCAAUAAGGGUCUCGUGAGAUCCGAUGAGAGUAUGCGUAGAAUAAGCAUCGGCUAACUCCGUGCCAGCAGCCGCGGUAAUACGGGGGAUGCGAGCGUUAUCCGGAUUUAUUGGGUUUAAAGGGUGCGUAGGCGGACUUUCAAGUCAGCGGUAAAAUUUCCGGGCUUAACCUGGUUGUGCCGUUGAAACUGAGAGACUGGAGUGCGCUUGAGGUAGGCGGAAUGCGUUGUGUAGCGGUGAAAUGCAUAGAUAUGACGCAGAACUCCGAUUGCGAAGGCAGCUUACCAAAUCGCUACUGACGCUGAGGCACGAAAGCGUGGGGAU